UGCGAAAGUGGCGGAAUCGGUAUACGCGCUACUUUGAGGUGGUAGUGAGGGAAACCUCGUGGGGGUUCAAGUCCCCCCUUUCGCAA
This 86-nucleotide transfer RNA is filed under the name Candidatus Rubidus massiliensis. RNAcentral's name for it is "tRNA-Leu". It matches the Rfam family "tRNA". From Rfam's summary of the family: Transfer RNA (tRNA) molecules are approximately 80 nucleotides in length. The record is from RNAcentral. Lineage: Bacteria; Pseudomonadati; Chlamydiota; Chlamydiia; Chlamydiales; Chlamydiaceae.